RNAcentral lists this ribosomal RNA (253 nucleotides) under uncultured bacterium. RNAcentral's name for it is "partial 16S ribosomal RNA". It matches the Rfam family "Bacterial small subunit ribosomal RNA", at positions 524 to 776 of the family's 1533-position model. The record is from RNAcentral.
UACGGAGGGUGCAAGCGUUAUCCGGAUUCACUGGGUUUAAAGGGUGCGUAGGUGGGCAGGUAAGUCAGUGGUGAAAUCUCCGGGCUUAACUCGGAAACUGCCGUUGAUACUAUCUGUCUUGAAUAUCGUGGAGGCUAGCGGAAUAUGUCAUGUAGCGGUGAAAUGCUUAGAUAUGACAUAGAACACCCAUUGCGAAGGCAGCUAACUACACGAUCAUUGACACUGAGGCACGAAAGCGUGGGGAGCAAACAGG